This is a non-coding RNA of Podarcis lilfordi (Lilford's wall lizard), 69 nucleotides long. NCBI's taxonomy places the organism in Eukaryota, Metazoa, Chordata, Lepidosauria, Squamata, Lacertidae. The record is from the annotation of a GenBank genome assembly.
GCUGUGGCUCAGUGGCAGAGCACCUGCUUUGCAUGCACAAGGACCCCGGUUCAAUCCCCAGCCUAUGCA